Molecule: unclassified non-coding RNA, 577 nt
Filed under: Bombus terrestris (buff-tailed bumblebee)
Lineage: Eukaryota; Metazoa; Arthropoda; Insecta; Hymenoptera; Apidae
Description: misc RNA ENSBTSG00005038162.1
Source: RNAcentral
AAAGGUACGUAGAAUUUAUAAGAAGCGAGAAGACGUUUAUUUUAGUCUAUCCUAGUGUAGAUAAAGCAGUAACAGUACUUCAGAUCUUGGGUCGUAAAGCGAGUUGCAGGGGCCGUAGCGACAAGCAGAGAGAAACACGGAGUAAGAAACGACGCGCGAAUGGCGAACAUGCCCGGGGCCUUACUCACCUGCCACGACGUAUCGCGCCCGCAUUGUCGUUGACCGGUCUAAAGAUCUGCAAUCGAACUCGAGGACACCCGCACUUACGGCGUCUCUUGUUGCACAUUCACUCGCGAGACAUCCUCGGUCACCGCACUCGUCCCUUUUAUUUUACAGUGAUUUAGGCAAGAUGCACGCUUUUGCUUUUCACGCACUAUAGAGCGGCACUGGUCGCUUCGCUCCUUCACGUAAUACAUCCACCCGCACCGACUAUGACCGUCGAGAAACACACACCGAGCGAGACUGCGGCGGCUCUUCUGGAGAACGUUCGGUUGCUAUUGUGAAAUCUCCCUCCAUCGACUCCGAGCACCAUCGCCACGGCACUAGCAUGCUACGGCCCUGUGUCGUUACCGACACC